GAUAAAAAUUUAUGAUUUAAAAAAUUUAUUUUAAGUUUAAUUUACAUAUAAAUUUUAGUGUUAAUUUUAUUAAAUUUAAAUAAUUUGAUAAUAAAUUUCAUAGUAAUUAAAAUUAAAAAUUUAAGAAAUUAAGAUUUAGUAAUAUUUAUAUUUAAAUAACAAAUUUUGUGCCAGCAGUUGCGGUUAUACAAAAAUUUAAAUAAAUUUUAUUAGU
This 214-nucleotide ribosomal RNA is filed under the name Pieris napi. RNAcentral describes it as "partial 12S ribosomal RNA". Lineage: Eukaryota; Metazoa; Arthropoda; Insecta; Lepidoptera; Pieridae. The record is from RNAcentral.